RNAcentral lists this ribosomal RNA (481 nucleotides) under uncultured Acidobacteriota bacterium. Its description in RNAcentral is "bacterial SSU rRNA". It matches the Rfam family "Bacterial small subunit ribosomal RNA", at positions 13 to 525 of the family's 1533-position model. The record is from RNAcentral. Lineage: Bacteria; Pseudomonadati; Acidobacteriota.
UUGAUCCUGGCUCAGAAUCAACGCUGUGCGGCGCGCCUAACACAUGCAAUUCGAACGAGAAAGUGGAGCAAUCCAUGAGUACAGUGGCGUACGGGUGAGUAACACGUGGAUAAUCUACCUUUUAGUGGGGAAUAACUCUGGGAAACCGGUGAUAAUACCGCAUAAGCCCGAGAGGGGAAAGCAGCAAUGCGCUGAAAGAUGAGUCCGCGGCCGAUUAGCUAGUUGGCAGGGUAAAAGCCUACCAAGGCAUAGAUCGGUAGCCGGCCUGAGAGGGCACACGGCCACACUGGCACUGAAACUCGGGCCAGACUCCUACGGGAGGCAGCAGUGGGGAAUCUUGCACAAUGGGUGAAACCCUGAUGCAGCGACGCCGCGUGAGCGAUGAAGCCCUUCGGGGUGUAAAGCUCUUUCGGCAGGGAAGAUAAUGACGGUACCUGCAGAAGCAGCUGUGGCUAACUACGUGCCAGCAGCCGCGGUAAUU